RNAcentral lists this microRNA precursor (103 nucleotides) under Marmota monax (woodchuck). Lineage: Eukaryota; Metazoa; Chordata; Mammalia; Rodentia; Sciuridae. The record is from RNAcentral.
AGUGAGAUAACUGGGUCAAAUGAUGGUUCCAUUCCUAAUUUUUUGAGUAAGCUCCAUACUGCUUUCCAGAGUGGUUGUACCAAUUUGCAGUCCCACUAGCAAU